GUUUUGGGGACAGAAUUUUCUUCCAUAGAUGAAGAUUAGGGUUUGGGGGAUAUUGUCAGAAAAAAAUCAGUGCCGAUAACAAAUGUUCUUUUGUGUACAGAUGGGAGGAUUUAUUGGAGUGCUCAGAAAUGUUAUGUACACAAUGUAAACCAAAAUUCGAGUCGUACUUCAAGACUGUUGUUACUUAAUCCAUCCGAGUAUUAACAAUGAAUAGUGUACUCUGUGAAGUACGUGGUGAGUAAAUACUUUUGAUCUUAAAGUGAAACAGAUGUAUCGUAUCGGUUUACUUUGCCUUUUUUUACAAAAAUAGCUGGAGGCCACGAUUUACAUGCCUGAGUAAAGUUAGAAUUUGAACCUUCACUCCAGGCGGUUAACCGUUUGUCUCAUGCUAAAAUCUACAUGCAAAGGGCUUUAUGUGAACCCUUGUUCUGUAAUACGCAUACUUCCCCUCGGUACGCAUUCGCAUGUAUUUUAGAAAUUAUAUUCAUGUUUCACUUUGUGUUAGUCUAUUCACAUUCAAUAAAUAUAUUUUUUGUACGUGUCUCCUCAUUUGCAUAAAUUUCACUAUACCAAUUUUCGGCUAUACGUACUAUCCAUGUUGAACAAACUUCAUGCCUCUCGCGAAGCCAUCAAACUAUGCAAAUGAGGUGACACGCACAAAUAAUUCCACUAUACACGUACAAGGUGUCUGGCGUGGUUAGUUAUUUUUAUCUAAAGCAUCGUUAAAAAAUUCAACCUUUUUGUCCCACGCACAAAACGAGCCACACACUUCACCAUUCAGGCUUACGCAACCAACUUUCCAGACAUAACUUAAACAUUAGAGACAAACUAGAACACCUUUGUACCCAAGCAAUAACGGGAGAAAAUUUUAAAUAGUGUGAGAAACAUAUUGCUAAUUUUCUCCACACAAUUUUUAUCUAAGUUUCUUCAAAAUUCAGGUAGAAUUUCCCUAUAAAUACAUUUAGAGAAUUCAAUCAUGCACGUAGAUAGUUUUUAGUUUGAAACCCACGAAUCGAGAUGGAUCUCACACCACGGGGGAAAUUUGCAUGCUCCACGUGCCCUAAAAGGUUCAAAUGGAAGAAAGAUUUUGAUAGGCACGUGAUCACACACGACCCCGACGCCAAAGUUAAAUGCAAGAUAUGCGGGAAAAUUUCCAAGAACCCAAUCGCCUUGUCUUUUCACAUGAAAAAUCUACACACCAACCGGAAACGGCCCAUUUGCGACAUUUGUGGGCAUGUUUUUCACAACUCUCCCAGUUUACGGAGACACACCGAAGCCAUGCACAGUACUCAUGAACGACCCCGUUUGCCAUGUGCGUUUCCCGGCUGUCGGAAAACCUUCCUACGUAAGCAACAUGUUUCGAGACAUGUAAAAAUCGACCACGCCGAGAAUCCGGUCAGAUUUCGGUGCACAC
Molecule: long non-coding RNA, 1414 nt
Organism: Folsomia candida
Lineage: Eukaryota; Metazoa; Arthropoda; Collembola; Entomobryomorpha; Isotomidae
Exons: 2
Source: RefSeq, a predicted model, not a curated record